Molecule: long non-coding RNA, 781 nt
Filed under: Lotus japonicus
Lineage: Eukaryota; Viridiplantae; Streptophyta; Magnoliopsida; Fabales; Fabaceae
Description: long non-coding RNA (LJAP_LNC000098)
Source: RNAcentral
ACAGUCAAGCAUAAUCCACAUUUGAAUUAUCUGUACCUUCCUCUGCUAAGCAACAAAACAUAAUUGAUGUCCAAAUCACAAAGGAAACCACCAUAACAUGUGAUCAUUCCACAAUAGAAAGAGAAAGCAUAAUAUAUAUAACCAAAUUAAUUGAGGGCAAACCAAACAUAAUUUUUUUUAGAUAAGCUAAAUUUAUAAAUAUAAGAGCACAAGAUGUGGCCAAGCAAAUUACAAGCACUGUACAGACCCAAGGCCAAAAGAAAGAGGAAGAAAUAGCGAGCUUCAGGGGAGAAAACAGGAAGAUAAAAAACAACCAACCAUUAUGCACGGUAAUAGUAGGCGCUUGUCAAAGGAAAAAAAAGGUAGAAGAAGCCACAAAACGACCGGCUAAUGUGCCUGCCCACUCUGUCANNNUGUACCUUCCUCUGCUAAGCAACAAAACAUAAUUAAUGUCCAACUCACAAUGGAAACCACCACAACAUGUGAUCAUUCUACAAUAAGAAGUGAAAGCAUAAUGUAUAUAACCAAAUUAAUUGAAUAAAGAAUCAGCAAAUGGAAGGUGUUAAACCAUAAGUAGUGAACUUGAAUAGUAUCAAGCUCAUUCUUAGAUUAUAAAUCAAUAUAAGAGUUUUGGAGAAAUCAUGUUUUAAGGUAUGAAAAGUUCCUGCUUAAGAUCAUCAUCCACCUAAAAAGUAAAAAUAGUAUACACAUAUAUCUUUAUAUAAUCAAAUUGAACUUGUUAACAAAAAAGAGACACAAGUGUUCAUACCCUAAUCAAAUC